This is a long non-coding RNA of Physeter macrocephalus (sperm whale), 720 nucleotides long. RefSeq lists it as uncharacterized. The transcript has 4 exons. NCBI's taxonomy places the organism in Eukaryota, Metazoa, Chordata, Mammalia, Artiodactyla, Physeteridae. The record is from RefSeq and is a predicted model, not a curated record.
AGGUGGUACAGAUAUGAGAAUAUACGGUCCAUGACGGCAAGAAGAGACAGUAAUAGCUACCAUUUAUUGUGAGACUACUUUGUGCCGGGCACUUUAUUUGCAUUAUUUCUAAUCCUUAAAACAAAAACAAAGUUAAAACCUCUCUAAGGUUGAUUUUUUUUGGAAAGUAAGCUUUCAAAGUCAUCGCUUCUGAUGGUUACUUUCUAGGAUCGUGGCAUUUCUCUUUCUGACGUCAAGAUGUGAGGUUCAUCUCUACUACAAAUCUUUAUACUUCUCGGAACCUAAAAGUUCUUACACACGAUAAAGCAAAAAAUGUCUACCAGCAGCUCCAGGAUUAAAUUCUCAACCGAAGAGGAGUUUCUUUCUUUCUAAGAGUUCCAUAAAAAGUCCCAGGAAGACUCUCAGUUACCAGUCCCAGAUCACAUACUGCAGCCAGCGGUGGAUCAUAAACCAUGUGGGCUGGGAACAGGAAGGAAUGAUCGCUAAGGUACAUGUGGUGAUACUGAAAGGUUGAUCUCCUGAAGUUGUGGUGACUUGGUGUAAACGUCUUUAAAAGGCUUAUUCUCCCAUGUAGCAUAUUUCCCUAUGGUAAAUGACUAUAUUUUUUUCUUUUAAUUUUGAAAAAAAAGAAUAAAAAAGGAAAAUGCAAGGAACAAUGCAGUUGUCAUCCAAGACCCCUCUACCUAUAAUUAAUAAAUGUUAGUAUUUUGUCAUUUUUGC